UCAAACCGUUCAUUUCCUCUGCUCAUCCUCUCUCUAGGGUUCCUCUCUCUCUCCUCCAUUCUGGGGGCAUCUGCACGAAUCCCCCACCAUCGCGCACAUCCGAACUCCGAAAGAGUACUUUCGGAGGGUUAAAGCACAAAUCUGUCCUAGCGAGGGUAUUUGAAACUGAGGACGACAGGAAGCGUACAUCAGAUUAGAUAAGUUCUUGCCCCGUUCAUCCCCAAAUUCCUAUCUCCUUUGCCCCGUAUGAGAGUUUUUAUUUGAUUUGGGGUGUUUUUGUGUGCGGAGGUGAUCGAAGUCCCAGGGUGAUUUCGCAACCAUCGGCAGAUCGUGGGGUUGGGGUUUUCUCCGUGAUCCUGGUGCAGCGAUUAGGAUCUCAUCGGCGAGCGCAUCUGGAAUCCGGGAUGAUUGGAAGCUCAAGUCAUCAGCAGCUCGCGGCUCUCCGUGAUUUGGUGUGGCGGAAGCUUAGGUCACAAUCACGUGAGCGAUACCCCCUCCUUCCAGCGCCUCCCCCCUCGCGCCUGUGACUGGAGCGAUUCCCCAUCCUUCCAGCGCCUCCCCCCUCGCGCCUGUGACUGGAUUUUUUGACAGGGAUUUUCCAUUCAUGGUGUCGGGUUUUUCAAUGUUGAAACGAAGUUUUGCUAACAGGGGGAAAGCUCACAUCCAGCAGAAAAAACACCAAAGUUUUUUUUCCAAACACACGCCAAUUAUAAUGCCAAGAGCACAGAAGCAGAAUAAGUCCGUGCGACAUCAUCCAAUGCAGUUUUCUAUGUGACCACUAGCCGGCUAUGUCACGAGAGUAAGGCCGUACCCAUAUGCUGAUAUGCAUACAGAAAGUCUGUAGAUAGUUUUCAAGCAACGGAAUGAAGAAAAAAUCAAAACUAUGCAGUCAGUCGUACUGCAGGAAGCAGGGUGGAGUUGGCGGGUUGCCCAUCAUAACGCAGGACCUGACCAGCGCCGGCACCCGCGGGAAGAGCCCGCCGCAGACGUCUUGGCGUCACUCGUCAGGCUUCCGGAAACGCCGGCGGCCUCAUGGAAGCGGUGGACGCGGCCAUGGCGCGCAUCGACGAAGGUGGCGCUCUGCUGCGUCCGGCACCGGCGGGACUCGCGGCCCACCAGCAUGCCGAAGGCCGCGUCGCGGGCUCGCAGCUGAUCUGCCGCGCGCCGCCCGCCGGGUAGCCACCUGCUCUCUCGGGAAAUUUUCGGACCCCCUCUACUACUACUCAUCAAUGGCACGCGGCCAGUGAGAAUUGAUGGCACGUUUGGAUUUCUGCUUGUCAAUAUUGCUUUGCCUGCGGCCGGUGUCGCCGUGGACCACCAGUGCGUGUCGAAUUGGUCGUGGUCCUCGCCGCCGGCGGCCCCCAGGCAGCCAGGAACGCGCUCGAGCCUUAUUGCCACGCGCCCACCACCAGUGGUGCCCAGGUUAUUCGUCGUUCGCCCAAAGCACAAAACACCGCCCGGAGCAGCAGCCACCUGAGUCGGACAUCCUCCUUCACUGACGACGGCGGCAGCGACGGUGCGUCCGGGCACCGGGCGCCGCCCAACGAGUGCGCCAAGCGCCGGUGGAAGGACGGGCGGGGGGAGGAGCAGGGAAAGAGAGCAAAACCGUCCGCCCACGAGCAGGAAGGGAAGGCUAAUGCACGAAAUCAAAUCCUCGUUAACCGAUCGACGGCGACGGAACGUCCUAGCUCCGAACAGCUUCUGCACGAGCGUUCCCGGAGGUCGAGCGGCGUCGAAUGGCCGGUGAAAGCACGGGCGGCGGCGGAGGAAGUCGUGCGCGCGCAAGAGAGCGAAGGGAGGGCUAAUAUGUUAAAAGGAGGGGGUAAAAUGUAAAAUGUCGGAUCGCGAUUAAUAAUCGCUACUAUAGAUCGCGAUCCAAAUUAGGGGUAAAGUGAAAAGUACCAGGGGGCAAAGUGAAAAUAAUAGGAGGCGAAAUGAAAACCUAAAAUCAGGGUACCUUCCCAUCUUCUCCCCUCCCGCGAGGGCACGAGCUCUCGACGCGGCGGCGCGGCAGAUCUCCGGCGCACCCCCUCCGCGACAUACAUGGAUUCGGAUGCGCUCCUGAAAAGAAGUGUGGCGUGUAUCGCCGUAUCAUCCCAAAUCUGAAGCGUCCCCGUCGACGAGAGCGGCAGGCGCCCGGAGCCUGCGCCGCAUCAGUUGCUUAUUGCUUGUGUUGCGGCGGACCGGCGGUCGUCCGUUGGCCGGCGGGGAUUCAAUCCCCAGAUGUUAUCCUCCACGAUCAGGAUGCGAUGCCUAAUGGCCGAGGGAAAUGCUGCUUCGGUUUCAUUUUGACAUGCCUAAUCCGGGGCUACGAGAUUCAGGAUCCUGAACAUUGCGCGCAGUUGGACAUUUGGCAGCUGUGCGUGAGCCUGAUGGAAGUUGAGAGACGGUGAGAACUGAGAGAUUGAUACUUCUUAGAAGGCAUGUUAUGCUGAGAAAAGUAGGAUUUGGUCAGAACUGUAGAAUGUGUUGUUAGUUUUUCUAGUAGUACUGUAGUAGUGCCUGACAUCCUGUUUGCUAUACAUGUUCAGUUAACUCUGCUCUGCUCGUGGUGAACUGAAAUUUCAGUUCAUCUUUGUAUGGUUGGCUGUCAAGUAUUUUAUAUCAU
Molecule: long non-coding RNA, 2608 nt
Organism: Panicum hallii
Lineage: Eukaryota; Viridiplantae; Streptophyta; Magnoliopsida; Poales; Poaceae
Exons: 5
Source: RefSeq, a predicted model, not a curated record